GACAGAGGGGGCAAGCGUUGCUCGGAAUCACUGGGCGUAAAGGGCGCGUAGGCGGGAUGGCAAGUCGGUCGUGAAAUCCCUCGGCUUAACCGGGGAACUGCGUCUGAUACUGGAUGGCUUGAGUUUGGGAGAGGGAUGCGGAAUUCCAGGUGUAGCGGUGAAAUGCGUAGAUAUCUGGAGGAACACCGGUGGCGAAGGCGGCAUCCUGGACCAACACUGACGCUGAGUGAGCGAAAGCCAGGGGAGCAAACGGG
RNAcentral lists this ribosomal RNA (254 nucleotides) under uncultured bacterium. Its description in RNAcentral is "partial 16S ribosomal RNA". It matches the Rfam family "Bacterial small subunit ribosomal RNA", at positions 524 to 776 of the family's 1533-position model. The record is from RNAcentral.